This 450-nucleotide ribosomal RNA is filed under the name uncultured bacterium. RNAcentral describes it as "bacterial SSU rRNA". It matches the Rfam family "Bacterial small subunit ribosomal RNA", at positions 354 to 796 of the family's 1533-position model. The record is from RNAcentral.
GUAGGGAAUCUUCCACAAUGGGCGAAAGCCUGAUGGAGCAACGCCGCGUGUGUGAUGAAGGGUUUCGGCUCGUAAAACACUGUUGUAAGAGAAGAAUGACAUUGAGAGUAACUGUUCAAUGUGUGACGGUAUCUUACCAGAAAGGAACGGCUAAAUACGUGCCAGCAGCCGCGGUAAUACGUAUGUUCCAAGCGUUAUCCGGAUUUAUUGGGCGUAAAGCGAGCGCAGACGGUUAUUUAAGUCUGAAGUGAAAGCCCUCAGCUCAACUGAGGAAUUGCUUUGGAAACUGGAUGACUUGAGUGCAGUAGAGGAAAGUGGAACUCCAUGUGUAGCGGUGAAAUGCGUAGAUAUAUGGAAGAACACCAGUGGCGAAGGCGGCUUUCUGGACUGUAACUGACGUUGAGGCUCGAAAGUGUGGGUAGCAAACAGGAUUAGAAACCCUAGUAGUCC